Molecule: long non-coding RNA, 1405 nt
Organism: Equus caballus (horse)
Lineage: Eukaryota; Metazoa; Chordata; Mammalia; Perissodactyla; Equidae
Source: RefSeq, a predicted model, not a curated record
GUCGGCCGCGGGCGGGGGGACAAAGGCCGGGCGGCCGGCCGGGGGUCUCGGGGAGGGGCGGGCGCGUGCGGCCGGGCCGGGCCGGGCUGCGCGGAGGCCGGACAGCUGGCGAGUGUCAGGGCCGCCGCCCGGCCGCACGCACCUCCCCGCGCCCGGGACGCGCGUUGUCCCGGCCGCGCCACGAGUUCACCUGGGACUUUGCAAAUAACUGUGCCACCGGUGGCAGCUGCGCUCCAGCCCGGCGUUUGGCUGGGGGCAGGCGGCGGUGCCCGGGGAAGUGAACUUAUUUUGUUCCUGCACAAAGACUGGACCAGGCGGUGCCUUUCACGCGAGGAGGUGCCGAGCACGGACACCUCGUCGUCGGAUGCAUUGUGUGCGCGAGCAGCACCUCGGGCCCCAGGCGGUCAUCAUUUCACAGAAAAUGCACCGCCCCGAGUGUCUUAUUGCUGUGAUGAAAUGGAAAUUUAAAUAAAAGGUCGAACACGUGCGUUCACUGGGAAGUAUUGACAUGGGUGUUACAUCACCAGCAGCCAAUCAGAUAACGCCAGUCGUGUUUAUACUUCUACAACCACCUUAUGAAAUGUCAUUUUCAUGUAAAAAAUGAUGCUGCUGACCUACCACAAGAAGAUUUUGGCAUUGAGUUAUUUUUCCGGUCAUGAUCGUGUUGUCACCUGGCCACCAGCGAUCCCCAGCUUGAAAUUCCCAUAUGGGUCUUCAGAGUGGUACAGUUUGUGGGUUUUUUAAAUUUCUUUUGUCCUGCUUUGUUUCAGUUGUUGGAAAGUUUAAAAGUGUAGGGUCUUUGCCAUUGACCGAAUUUUUCCCUUUGAGAAGUGACAGGAUUCUGUCUGCUUAGCUGUAUAUAUGUGCUUCCAUGUAAUAUAUGGAAGAAUGUUAUAAUAAUACUGUGCUUUGUCCUCAAUGCGUUUUUAAAAUUCCAGGCACUUUGCAAAUAAAUACAUUAUUUAUAAUAUUUUAACCACCACUGCUUCCCUCGUAAAAAAAAGGUGAGAGUUACUGAAGUUAAUUUCUUAUCUAGGCUUAAAGUGAUGGGAAGUGAAAAUGGACUUGAGAAUUUUUAUUUCAACUUUAAAGGUUGUUUUCAUUCCAAAACUGUUAAAUUCAUAUCUUUGUUUCUUUUCAUCUUACAUGCCUGGUACAUAAUGGGCACUAUGUAAGUUUCUGCUGGUAUUAUUAUUUUUGCUUUCUGCGAGUGUCAAUUACCAAAAAUGCUUGAAUCCAUAAUGGUGUUAAUUGUGUCAGGAGUGUAUUUUUCUCAGACAUAUAUCUUACCUUAUAUUUUGUAAGAUCCACAUUGUCUUCUGUCUGGAGUUAUGUUUAAACGUGGGCUAAUUAAGAAUGAACGACACGAGAUUCAAGUGGUACAAAUAAAUGACAAACUCUGGGA